CUCUAGUAUUUUCUCUUCUAGGUGACUGCUUGCGCGUCUGAACUCGGCGAGACACGCGAAUAGCUGUGGACUAUCUUCUCUCAACCCAGUUGAACCUGGACCUUGGAAAGUAUGAGCGAUUCCUAGAAAUCAAGCUGACCCAUGAUAAUAAUAUUUCUACCAGAAUGAUUUACCAGGAUGUUAUAAACAGAGAGAGAUAGGUUGUCCCUCACAUCACAGAUGCUAUCCAAGACUAGAUUAAGUGUGUAGCACAUAUACCAGUUGAUGGAAAGUCAGGCCCUGCUAAGCACCAAUAUUGGUCAUUUGGUCUUGGCCUUAAUCUUUGGGGCAGCCUUGAUUUCUUAAAAGCAGUUUGCUUCAAGAGGGUCUGCUACUGUGCCUAUCUAUCACAUUCAAGGGGCAAAACACUUCCUUUUAUUACUGUUGAAGAAGGGUUGAUUUUCAAAUUUGAGCCUUCAAUGUUUGUAUGACUGAGCAUAGAAAAGUUGCUAGUGGUAAAGUUGCAGCCAUGGAGAGGAACAUGAAUAAAUUUAUGUUUUCUGAUGUAUUUUAUUUGAAAUUGCAUAUGAUCUGUACAGUAAAUUUUAGAAAUACAUGGUUAUAGGUGUGCCAAAUUGUUAUUUUUUUUUUAUUUAUU
Molecule: long non-coding RNA, 637 nt
Filed under: Rosa chinensis
Lineage: Eukaryota; Viridiplantae; Streptophyta; Magnoliopsida; Rosales; Rosaceae
Description: sRNA RchiOBHm_Chr7g0179561
Source: RNAcentral